GGAUGUUGGCUCAGAAGCAGCCACUCAUUUAAAGAGUGCGUAAUAGCUCACUGGUCGAGCGUCUCUGCGCGGAAAAUUUAACGGGGCUAAGAUACAAACCGAAGCUUAGGCUGCACUUUUAGUGCGGGGUAGGGGAGCGUUGUGUAAGCGGAGAAACAGUAGCGGAAGCGGCUGUGGAGUUUACAGAAGUGAGAAUGCCGGAAUGAGUAGCGCGAAUGAUGUGAGAAUCAUCAUGGCCGGAAACCUCAGGUUUUUGGAGGAAGGUUCGUCCGCUCCAAGUUAGGCGGGAGCUAAGGUGAGGCCGAAAGGCGUAGCCGAUGCACAGACGGUAGAGAUUCCGUCCCCACCGAAAGAUUUAAGCGCAGGGACACUUUUAGAAGGUCGGAGCCAGGUGUUGGUUCUGGUAGUGAUCGAGGGAAAUUUAGUACCGAAGUCCGGCUGGAUAAGAGGCGAGAAAAGCUGCGUGUAUAUCUAAGGUGCCCGUACCGCAAACCGACACAGGUAGGUAGGAAGAAGAUUCUAAGGCCAACGGGAGAAGGGUUGUUAAGGAACUCGGCAAGUUGACCCCGUAACUUCGGAAUAAGGGGUGCUCAUGAAAGUGAGCCGCAGAGAAUAGGCCCAGGCAACUGUUUACCAAAAACACAGGUUUGUGCUAAAUCGAAAGAUGACGUAUACGAGCUGACGCCUGCCCGGUGCUGGAAGGUUAAAAGGAGAUGUGCAAGCAUUGAAUUGAAGCCCCAGUGAACGGCGGCCGUAACUAUAACGGUCCUAAGGUAGCGAAAUUCCUUGUCAGGUAAGUUCUGACCCGCAUGAAAGGCGUAAUGAUCUGGGCACUGUCUCAACAGCCCGCCCGGCGAAAUUGUAGUACCGGUGAAGAUGCCGGUUACCCGCGACAAGACGGAAAGACCCCAUGGAGCUUUACUGUAGCCUAAUAUUGGGUUUCGGUGUUGCAUGCACAGGAUAGAUGGGACGCUAGGAAGUGAGUGCUUUGGCAUUCAUGGAGCGGCCGUUGGGAUACCAUCCUUGCGACAUUGGAAUUCUAACCUGCGCCUUUGAAUCAAGGCGGGGGACAUUGUUAGGUGGGCAGUUUGACUGGGGCGGUCGCCUCCUAAAGAGUAGCGGAGGCGUUCAAAGGUUGGCUCGUCCUGGACGGAAACCAGGAGAGAGAGUGCAAACGCAAAAGCCAGCCUGACUGCGAGACUGACGGGUCGAGCAGAGACGAAAGUCGGAGUUAGUGAUCCGGUGGUAUGUGAGUGGAAAUGCCAUCGCUCAACGGAUAAAAGUUACCCUGGGGAUAACAGGCUGAUCUCCCCCAAGAGUCCACAUCGACGGGGAGGUUUGGCACCUCGAUGUCGGCUCAUCGCAUCCUGGGGCUGAAUUCGGUCCCAAGGGUUUGGCUGUUCGCCAAUUAAAGCGGUACGCGAGCUGGGUUCAGAACGUCGUGAGACAGUUCGGUCCCUAUCUGUCGUGGGCGCAGGAUAUUUGAAAGGCGCUGUCCCUAGUACGAGAGGACCGGGAUGGACGAACCUCUGGUGCACCAGUUGUCACGCCAGUGGCACAGCUGGGCAGCUAUGUUCGGAUCGGAUAAACGCUGAAAGCAUCUAAGCGUGAAGCCGGCCUUAAGAUAAGAUAUCCCACUGAGUCAAUCAGGUAAGACCCCUUGA
This 1664-nucleotide ribosomal RNA is filed under the name human gut metagenome. RNAcentral's name for it is "bacterial LSU rRNA". It matches the Rfam family "Bacterial large subunit ribosomal RNA", at positions 1096 to 2841 of the family's 2925-position model. The record is from RNAcentral.